Molecule: ribosomal RNA, 503 nt
Filed under: uncultured bacterium
Lineage: Bacteria
Description: bacterial SSU rRNA
Rfam family: Bacterial small subunit ribosomal RNA
Source: RNAcentral
AGAGUUUGAUCAUGGCUCAGGAUGAACGCUAGCGACAGGCCUAAUACAUGCAAGACGAACGGUAAGUUGAGUAGCAAUACUUAGCCAAGAGUGUCGUACGGGUGCGUAACACGUAUGCAACCUACCCUAUACAGGAGGAUAGCCUAGGGAAACCUGGAUUAACCCUUCAUAGUAUUAUUGGAUGGCAUCAUUUGAUAAUUAAAACUGAGGUGGUAUAGGAUGGGCAUGCGUCUGAUUAGUUAGUUGGCGGGGUAAUGGCCCACCAAGACGAUGAUCAGUAGGGGUUCUGAGAGGAAGAUCCCCCACACUGGCACUGAGAUACGGGCCAGACUCCUACGGGAGGCAGCAGUAGGGAAUAUUGGUCAAUGGAUGCAAGUCUGAACCAGCCAUGCCGCGUGCAGGAAGAAGGCCUUCUGGGUUGUAAACUGCUUUUGCCAGGGGAUAAAAUUUCCAUGCGUGGAAAACUGAAGGUACCUGGUGAAUAAGCCACGGCUAACUACGUG